UACGGAGGGGGCGAGCGUUAUUCGGAAUUAUUGGGCGUAAAGGGCGCGUAGGCGGCUGUACAAGUCAAAGGUGAAAUCCCUCGGCUCAACUGAGGAACUGCCUUUGAAACUGUACGGCUUGAGGCCGGGAGGGGGUAGCGGAAUUCCCAGUGUAGCGGCGAAAUGCGUAGAUAUUGGGAGGAACACCAGUGGCGAAGGCGGCUACCUGGACCGGUUCUGACGCUGAGGCGCGAAAGCGUGGGUAGCAAACAGG
RNAcentral lists this ribosomal RNA (253 nucleotides) under uncultured bacterium. RNAcentral's name for it is "partial 16S ribosomal RNA". It matches the Rfam family "Bacterial small subunit ribosomal RNA", at positions 524 to 776 of the family's 1533-position model. The record is from RNAcentral.